Molecule: ribosomal RNA, 480 nt
Filed under: Anelosimus nr. sallee 040A
Lineage: Eukaryota; Metazoa; Arthropoda; Arachnida; Araneae; Theridiidae
Description: partial 16S ribosomal RNA
Rfam family: Bacterial large subunit ribosomal RNA (bases 73-385)
Source: RNAcentral
UUUACAUUUUAAUUUCUUUAUUAAAUAUAAUAUUAAUAAUUUAUAUUAAAUAUAAAAAUAUAUUUAUAAAAUAAAAAGACGACAAGACCCUAUUAAAUUUUACUUAUUGUUUAGCUGGGGCAGCUUUUUAAAUAAAAUUUUAAAUUAUUUAAAUUCAAAUAUAUAAUAUAAUAAAAAAUCUAAUAUAAUUAAAUUAAUCAAAUUACUAUAGGGAUAACAGCGUUAUAUUUUUUUCAAGUUCAUAUUUAAAAAAAUUAUUGCGACCUCGAUGUUGAAUUAUAUUUCUUUAUUAAUGCAACAAUUAUAAAAGUAGGUCUGUUCGACCUUUAAAAUAUUACAUGAUUUGAGUUCAAACCGGUGUAAACCAGGUUGGUUUCUAUCUUUUUUACAAUUUUUCUAGUACGAAAGGACAAAUAAAUUUUUAUUAUAAAAUUAAUUAGCAAAUUUAUGCAUUAGAUUUAGAUUCUAAAUAUUCUAUUU